AAAUUGAAGAGUUUGAUCCUGGCUCAGAUUGAACGCUGGCGGCAGGCCUAACACAUGCAAGUCGAACGGUAACAGGAAGCAGCUUGCUGCUUUGCUGACGAGUGGCGGACGGGUGAGUAAUGUCUGGGAAACUGCCUGAUGGAGGGGGAUAACUACUGGAAACGGUGGCUAAUACCGCAUAACGUCGCAAGACCAAAGAGGGGGACCUUCCCGCCACAAGCCAGCACAUCUCGGCUGAUCCCAUUACCAAGUUGGUGAGGUAACGGCUCACCAAGGCGACGAUCCCUAGCUGGUCUGAGAGGAUGACCAGCCACACUGGUUCUGAGACACGGUCCAGACUCCUACGGGAGGCAGCAGUGGGGAAUAUUGCACAAUUGGGGGAAAAAUGAUGCAGGGAUGGGGCGUGUAUGAAGAAGGCCUUCGGGUUGUAAAGUACUUUCAGCGGGGAGGAAGGUGUUGUGGUUAAUAACCGCAGCAAUUGACGUUACCCGCAGAAGAAGCACCGGCUAACUCCGUGCCAGCAGCCGCGGUAAUACGGAGGGUGCAAGCGUUAAUCGGAAUUACUGGGCGUAAAGCGCACGCAGGCGGUCUGUCAAGUCGGAUGUGAAAUCCCCGGGCUCAACCUGGGAACUGCAUUCGAAACUGGCAGGCUUGAGUCUUGUAGAGGGGGGUAGAAUUCCAGGUGUAGCGGUGAAAUGCGUAGAGAUCUGGAGGAAUACCGGUGGGGCGAAGGCGGCCCCCUGGACAAAGACUGACGCUCAGGUGCGAAAGCGUGGGGAGCAAACAGGAUUAGAUACCCUGGUAGUCCACGCCGUAAACGAUGUCUACUUGGAGGUUGUGCCCUUGAGAGCGUGGCUUCCGGAGCUAACGCGUUAAGUAGACCGCCAUGACAGUACGGCCGCAAGGUUAAAACUCAAAUGAAUUGACGGGGGCCCGCACAAGCGGUGGAGCAUGUGAUCCGAUUCGAUGCAACGCGAAGAACCUUACCUGGUCUUGACAUCCACGGAAGUUUUCAGAGAUGAGAAUGUGCCUUCGGGAACCGUGAGACAGUGCUGCAUGGCUGUCGUCAGCUCGUGUUGUGAAAUGUUGGGUUAAGUUCCGCAACGAGCGCAACCCUUAUCCUUUGUUGCCAGCGGUCCGGCCGGGAACUCAAAGGAGACUGCCAGUGAUAAACUGGAGGAAGGUGGGGAAUCGCAGGUAC
RNAcentral lists this ribosomal RNA (1201 nucleotides) under Salmonella enterica subsp. enterica serovar Gallinarum. RNAcentral describes it as "bacterial SSU rRNA". It matches the Rfam family "Bacterial small subunit ribosomal RNA", at positions 1 to 1192 of the family's 1533-position model. The record is from RNAcentral. Lineage: Bacteria; Pseudomonadati; Pseudomonadota; Gammaproteobacteria; Enterobacterales; Enterobacteriaceae.